Molecule: long non-coding RNA, 307 nt
Filed under: Elaeis guineensis (African oil palm)
Lineage: Eukaryota; Viridiplantae; Streptophyta; Magnoliopsida; Arecales; Arecaceae
Description: long non-coding RNA (EGUI_LNC057911)
Source: RNAcentral
AGGCAUUCUUCAGCAGGCGUAUGGCGCCUUCACUAAAAAUUCUGAUUAGGUCCAACCAUUGACAUGACAAUACCAAGUGCAUCCAACAAAAGAAUAUCCAGACCCAAGUAUGGCUCGACCAAUCUGACCAUUGAUCUGAAGGGCACAAUAAGGUGGUCAUAUAAUGAAUGAUAAUUUCAAUACCUAAUAGACACCAGGCAUGUGGCACCUCUAAUGCCUAUUUGAAAUAUUGGACGCAUUAUCACGCACCUUAAUGGGAGGCUAUGAACUAGUUAUCCCUAUAAUCGUAUCAUUUUAAGGACCUAAU